This 58-nucleotide transfer RNA is filed under the name Salmo salar (Atlantic salmon). It matches the Rfam family "tRNA", at positions 8 to 63 of the family's 71-position model. Rfam says of the family: Transfer RNA (tRNA) molecules are approximately 80 nucleotides in length. Their secondary structure includes four short double-helical elements and three loops (D, anti-codon, and T loops). Lineage: Eukaryota; Metazoa; Chordata; Actinopteri; Salmoniformes; Salmonidae. The record is from Rfam by way of RNAcentral. RNAcentral also lists the same sequence under 1 other name.
UGGCUCAGUUGGUAGAGCAUGGCACUUUCAAUGCCAUGGUUGUGGGUUUGAUUCCCAU